UCAGGACGAACGCUGGCGGCGUGCCUAAUACAUGCAAGUCGAGCGAGCAGAACCAGCAGAUUUACUUCGGUAAUGACGCUGGGGACGCGAGCGGCGGAUGGGUGAGUAACACGUGGGGAACCUGCCCCAUAGUCUAGGAUACCACUUGGAAACAGGUGCUAAUACCGGAUAAUAAAGCAGAUCGCAUGAUCAGCUUAUAAAAGGCGGCGUAAGCUGUCGCUAUGGGAUGGCCCCGCGGUGCAUUAGCUAGUUGGUAAGGUAACGGCUUACCAAGGCAAUGAUGCAUAGCCGAGUUGAGAGACUGAACGGCCACAUUGGGACUGAGACACGGCCCAAACUCCUACGGGAGGCAGCAGUAGGGAAUCUUCCACAAUGGACGCAAGUCUGAUGGAGCAACGCCGCGUGAGUGAAGAAGGUUUUCGGAUCGUAAAGCUCUGUUGUUGGUGAAGAAGGAUAGAGGUAGUAACUGGCCUUUAUUUGACGGUAAUCAACCAGAAAGUCACGGCUAACUACGUGCCAGCAGCCGCGGUAAUACGUAGGUGGCAAGCGUUGUCCGGAUUUAUUGGGCGUAAAGCGAGCGCAGGCGGAAGAAUAAGUCUGAUGUGAAAGCCCUCGGCUUAACCGAGGAAUUGCAUCGGAAACUGUUUUUCUUGAGUGCAGAAGAGGAGAGUGGAACUCCAUGUGUAGCGGUGGAAUGCGUAGAUAUAUGGAAGAACACCAGUGGCGAAGGCGGCUCUCUGGUCUGCAACUGACGCUGAGGCUCGAAAGCAUGGGUAGCGAACAGGAUUAGAUACCCUGGUAGUCCAUGCCGUAAACGAUGAGUGCUAAGUGUUGGGAGGUUUCCGCCUCUCAGUGCUGCAGCUAACGCAUUAAGCACUCCGCCUGGGGAGUACGACCGCAAGGUUGAAACUCAAAGGAAUUGACGGGGGCCCGCACAAGCGGUGGAGCAUGUGGUUUAAUUCGAAGCAACGCGAAGAACCUUACCAGGUCUUGACAUCUAGUGCCAUCCUAAGAGAUUAGGAGUUCCCUUCGGGGACGCUAAGACAGGUGGUGCAUGGCUGUCGUCAGCUCGUGUCGUGAGAUGUUGGGUUAAGUCCCGCAACGAGCGCAACCCUUAUUAUUAGUUGCCAGCAUUAAGUUGGGCACUCUAAUGAGACUGCCGGUGACAAACCGGAGGAAGGUGGGGAUGACGUCAAGUCAUCAUGCCCCUUAUGACCUGGGCUACACACGUGCUACAAUGGGCAGUACAACGAGAAGCGAGCCUGCGAAGGCAAGCGAAUCUCUGAAAGCUGUUCUCAGUUCGGACUGCAGUCUGCAACUCGACUGCACGAAGCUGGAAUCGCUAGUAAUCGCGGAUCAGAACGCCGCGGUGAAUACGUUCCCGGGCCUUGUACACACCGCCCGUCACACCAUGGAAGUCUGCAAUGCCCAAAGCCGGUGGCCUAACCUUCGGGAAGGAGCCGUCUAAGGCAGGGCAGAUGACUGGGGUGAAGUCGUA
Molecule: ribosomal RNA, 1498 nt
Filed under: Lactobacillus helveticus
Lineage: Bacteria; Bacillati; Bacillota; Bacilli; Lactobacillales; Lactobacillaceae
Description: bacterial SSU rRNA
Rfam family: Bacterial small subunit ribosomal RNA
Source: RNAcentral